RNAcentral lists this long non-coding RNA (550 nucleotides) under Populus trichocarpa (black cottonwood). RNAcentral describes it as "long non-coding RNA (PTRI_LNC002975)". The record is from RNAcentral. Lineage: Eukaryota; Viridiplantae; Streptophyta; Magnoliopsida; Malpighiales; Salicaceae.
UCCAAUGUUCUUUUGUCUUAAUUUCCAAAAAUCAUAAUUUUUUUUAAUUUCCAUUAGUAAUGAUUUUUUUUUUUUUUACGGAAUUUGAGACAGACAGGUAUCAAAUGUUUAGAGAAAUAAGGAGUCGAGUGAUGAUACCAGAGCAAAAAAUAGUACAAGGAUCAAACAAAGGCAAGAAAGAAAUUAGCAGGGUAAAAAAAAGGACUAGUCUCCUCUCUCUCUCUCUCUCUCUCUGAAAAUGAUAAAAACUUAUUGUGAUGUCGAUUACAAGCAUAAAAUCUUUCGACCCCAUCCCUGUGAGGGUGCUGCUGCUGCUGCGUGUGGACCAGACCACGUUAAUGGAAAAUAGAUUUCAGAACUUCCUUAUAUUUACUGUCCUAACUUUUUGAAACAAUCUAAUGUAAUUCCCUGUCCCAAGUUUUCUAUACAUCAAGGUGUAUUUGGCUUUCUUGUAGUUUCUGUGAUUGCGGAAAAGAUUGCGGUCUGUCUUCAUUAAACAUACACUUUUAAAUCUAAAUCUAUGAUUAUGCAAAACAUAGUGUUACACUGU